Molecule: ribosomal RNA, 996 nt
Filed under: Triticum aestivum (bread wheat)
Lineage: Eukaryota; Viridiplantae; Streptophyta; Magnoliopsida; Poales; Poaceae
Description: partial small subunit ribosomal RNA
Source: RNAcentral
AUGCCAACUAAAAUCACACCGUCAGAAUCAAAUUUAGUCUCUACUGCUCUUGUGCAAGGUGCGACCCGACAUGCAGUAGCACAACACACCUUCGUGCCAAAUGAGAUCGACCAGCAAAGAGUGGAGACAGUGCUGCAAUGCAAGAUUGCUAAAUUUUCCUGCCGCUACCUGGGGCUGCAGCUGGCGAUUCAUCAACUAUCCCGUGCAGACUGGCAACCCCUCCUGGAUCAGGUCCGGCACUUUAUCCCGGCCUGGCAGCGUGACUUCAUUCAAAGGUCAGGCAGACUAGUCCUUGUCAAGACGGUGAUCGUGGCCAGGCCAGUUCAUCAGCUUUUGGUGCUUGACCCCCCUGCUUGGGUUUUGGAAGACAUCAAUAAGUGGAUGCGAUCCUUCUUUUGGGCUGGUAAGGAUAAGAGUCAUGGAGAGCAGUGCCUUGUUGCUUGGGAUACGGUCUGCAGGCUGACGAGUUUCGGUGGUCUGGGAGUGAAAAAUUUGGCUGUGCAAGCUCUCGCACUUCGUGUGCGGUGGGAAUGGCUUAGGAGAACGGAUCCGAAGAGACCAUGGCAAGGGCUCCAUCUAAUGGUUGAUGAGCAAGCGCGCGCCGUCUUUGAUAGCCUGGUCAAGAUCACCAUCGGAGAGGGAUCAAAAAUACUCUUCUGGAAAGAUCGUUGGAUUCAUGGAGUGGCGAUAAAAGACAUUGCCCCGCUGCUCCUCCAACUUGUCAGUACACGUGAUAAGAACAGAAGAACGGUGCAAGAGGCACUCCUUGAUAACGCCUGGGCGAACGAUAUCCAUGGAGAGCUCUCAUUCAUGGGCCACAUGCAAGUUUACCUGUUAACUCAAGCCAUUAGCUUGGUGGAGAGGAACAUUGACGAGCCGGAUCAGUUCGACUGGCCCUACGAUGCCUCUGGCAAAUACACAACCAGUUCUACCUAUACGAGGCUCUGCAUUGGAUACACACGUGCCCCGGCUGCCGGUGGCAUUUGGCGUAGCUAG